CCAAAGAGCAGUUACAAUUACAAAACAACACUGACUUUAACUACCCUUUGCCCACCACAUGGUGAUUUUGUGAACUUCUUCGCAAACACACGGAGAUGACUGCUGUAACUUUGCUGAACGAUCUAAUUACUUGAAUUUAAAUACCUCAGCCACCAUGGUGAGAUUCAAACUCAUAUCUCUGGAUCAUUGGUUCGUAAUUCUGGUUGCUUGUCCAAUAACAACAUAGCAACCAUACUGGAAGGCUACUGGAACUACAAUCCGGCAUGUCAGUUUUCAGGUCUAUUAGAAGAACUCCUUUAUGGUGCACUCCUUCCACAGCUCCUCAUUUCGCUCUCUGACCCCAUUUGGAGUCAGCAAUAAAGUGACAGAUAACAACUAAACUUGGAAACAAGACAUCUGGCAAUCUCAGUGGCAUAGAUUUCUUCUUAUGUCAAUUUAGCUAUAGAAUUAACAAAAGGGGAACUCUGGUCUCCAGCAUAUCAUGAAGCAGGCUGAACCCCAAGUCACAAGGAAGAAGUAUGACUGACAGCAAACCAAGGAGCAAGAAACUCUAAGUUUUCAUAUUGUUUGAAAUAUUUACAGCAAUGAAACAAAGAUUGGAAUCGGGA
Molecule: long non-coding RNA, 608 nt
Organism: Pristis pectinata (smalltooth sawfish)
Lineage: Eukaryota; Metazoa; Chordata; Chondrichthyes; Rhinopristiformes; Pristidae
Exons: 3
Source: RefSeq, a predicted model, not a curated record